UACGGAGGGUGCAAGCGUUAUCCGGAUUCACUGGGUUUAAAGGGUGCGUAGGUGGGCAGUUAAGUCAGUGGUGAAAUCUCCGGGCUUAACCCGGAAACUGCCAUUGAUACUAUCUGUCUUGAAUGCCGUGGAGGUAAGCGGAAUAUGUCAUGUAGCGGUGAAAUUGCUUAGAUAUGACAUAGAACACCAAUUGCGAAAGGCACUUACUACACGAAAA
This 217-nucleotide ribosomal RNA is filed under the name uncultured bacterium. RNAcentral's name for it is "partial 16S ribosomal RNA". It matches the Rfam family "Bacterial small subunit ribosomal RNA", at positions 524 to 739 of the family's 1533-position model. The record is from RNAcentral.